This is a long non-coding RNA of Melopsittacus undulatus (budgerigar), 973 nucleotides long. RefSeq lists it as uncharacterized. The transcript has 3 exons. The record is from RefSeq and is a predicted model, not a curated record. Lineage: Eukaryota; Metazoa; Chordata; Aves; Psittaciformes; Psittaculidae.
UUUUGGUCUGUGUGAGACCAGGACUCAGAGCAGUACUGCAGUCCCUUCUGGACCAACAGCUUAAGAAAUCUCAUAUGCAGCUUACAAGAGCUGGGAAGUCCCUGUAGUUUGAGCUGACUCCCACCACAUAUGUUUGUUUCCUUUAUGAUACAGCCCCUGAUUUGUUCUAACUUAAUCCUCUUUGAUGAAAAAUAUACCCGUAAGUGAAAAGCAAGGCUUAUGCUGAUCUUGGCAUUUCAGUCAGCAAGUGUUACAUUUUGGUAAGCUACAGAGAAUGUCCUCAGUAUUCUUGGAGGGACAGUUCAAUAAAAGUUUAAGACUUCUUCAAGCCUGUUUGUAAAAUGCAUCCCUGCACAAAGUUGGUAUGAGGCACUGCUAGGAUUAAGGGGAAGUGUGUUGCCUAAACUGACAUCCCAGGUACCAUGAGGUGUCCUUGUCUUCAGAAGGGGGAUUCAUAAACAAGGGGUAACUCACUAAUACACAUGACAGAUUCUGUCCCAUGGAACCAUUAAGGGUAAAUACAUUGAUGAGACCCUGUCAUACAGUAUAUUUUCUUUUUUCAACUGAGUUAUCAUUCAAGCUAUUUCCACCUCUUCUUUGUAUUGUUCUCUGCAUUUAGGAUUUGACCUCUGCAUUUAGGGUAGAUCAUUGACUUAAUGGACAAUCAUUACGUUGGAACAGUGAACCAAUUGGAAACCCCAGAUGUUCUUAGGACACUGUUUUGAAGGAACUCAUAAAACCUCUGUACAUUUUCAGCUAGCCAAAAUAUCUGGAAGCUAAGGAAAAACAGGAAGGUACUUCUCUGCUUUACUGGCAGUGAGGCUGGCCUGUGAGCUUUUUGGAUGCUACCUAAGUGGAUGCUGUGCUUCAGGGAGGUUCCUGCAUCUUGUGAAUGAACGGGAGCUCAGGGAACCAAGGUACUUGUCUGAGGAAGAAACAGGUCAAUCAGUGAGCACAACCACCUGAUUUUUCC